GGCUUUUUAGAUCUCCUGUUGGACAACAUCUCCAGGACACUUCGCUCCAUGUGACUAGGCAGUUUGUGAAGACAGAUAAUCAAGAGAAGUCAGUUCCAGAUCCACCUUCCACACCAGACCUCUCUCUCACGAGGAUUGCUGUCUACUAGCAUAUUGUGUUCUCUUCAGACUUCGGGGAAUGCAGAUAUUACUCGGGGACACGAACACAUGAAUAUUGCAAGAAUAGAGAAAGUAAGAUAUAUUAUAUAUAUAUUUAGAUAUAUUUUUGUGGCAGUGUGAACUGGCCAUAAUGCUGUAAUGAUAGGUGUGAGAUUCAUUAAACUUGAUUUGGUAUAAUACAUCUGUUCAUAAGCUAUUGCAUAUUAUUUUCAAUGAAUUAUUUGUAGUGGUUUGGUUAAGGGUGUGAUUAGCUGAUGUAUUAUUGUGGGAGCUUGUGAUUAGUUGAUAAAUGUGUUUAUUGUUAAUGAUAAUAUUUAAAUGCAAUGUGCUGAGUGCUUACUAAGACUUGCAUGUUUGUGCAUAAUGUUUUGACCCCGGAUGCUUACAGAAGGGUAUAGAUAUUUAAAUAUAUGGAAAUGUAUUUAUUAUUAAUAUAUCUCAAUCUAUGUGCUUCUGUUUGGGCUGAAUGCUUUCAUUCAUAUGUCGCUGUAUAUCCUGUUUUUAUUAAUAAUCUGGGUGUAUUACUGUUCAUAUUUGCUUGUUAAUAAAUUAACUGAAUUC
Long non-coding RNA from Carassius auratus (goldfish), 720 nucleotides. RefSeq lists it as uncharacterized. The transcript has 2 exons. Lineage: Eukaryota; Metazoa; Chordata; Actinopteri; Cypriniformes; Cyprinidae. The record is from RefSeq and is a predicted model, not a curated record.